GUAGGUGAACCUGCGGAAGGAUCAUUAUCGAGAGAGGGCCUUCGUGCUCCCGGGGGUUCCGGCCCCUAACUCUUCACCCAUUGUUUAUCUACCUUUGUUGCUUUGGCGGGCCACGGGGCCUUCCCGCGCUGGCUCUCGGGCCGGCGAGCGCCCGUCAGAGGCCCAUUAAAUUCUGUUUAUUAGUGUUGUCCGAGUAAAAACAUAAAUAAGUAAAAACUUUCAACAACGGAUCUCUUGGUUCCA
RNAcentral lists this unclassified non-coding RNA (243 nucleotides) under rhizosphere metagenome. RNAcentral describes it as "partial ribosomal RNA internal transcribed spacer region". The record is from RNAcentral.